RNAcentral lists this ribosomal RNA (274 nucleotides) under uncultured bacterium. Its description in RNAcentral is "partial 16S ribosomal RNA". It matches the Rfam family "Bacterial small subunit ribosomal RNA", at positions 523 to 796 of the family's 1533-position model. The record is from RNAcentral.
AUACGGAGGGGGUUAGCGUUGUUCGGAAUUACUGGGCGUAAAGCGCACGUAGGCGGAUUGGAAAGUUGGGGGUGAAAUCCCAGGGCUCAACCCUGGAACUGCCUCCAAAACUAACAGUCUAGAGUUCGAGAGAGGUGAGUGGAAUUCCAAGUGUAGAGGUGAAAUUCGUAGAUAUUUGGAGGAACACCAGUGGCGAAGGCGGCUCACUGGCUCGAUACUGACGCUGAGGUGCGAAAGCGUGGGGAGCAAACGGGAUUAGAAACCCCGGUAGUCC